Molecule: long non-coding RNA, 1000 nt
Organism: Cyanistes caeruleus (blue tit)
Lineage: Eukaryota; Metazoa; Chordata; Aves; Passeriformes; Paridae
Source: RefSeq, a predicted model, not a curated record
UUUUUAAGAUCAGGAUUCAAAGUGGGAGGACUGUAUGUCAGAACUGUGAAGGAAUCAAAGGUACUGGCUCCCAAUUGUUCAUAUGGAUGUAGUCAGGGAAUGGUUCCAGGAGAAAAACCAGCUCUGCUAUCCUAUCCAGCAAGUGCAAAGUGGUGAUUAAAUAGGUCUGGGGUAGAAGGGUUUGACAGAGCAAGUCGACCCACAAGCUGCAAUACUCAAGAAGAACUGGUACUGCUCCAUUCCUGCUAUACAUCAGUGCAACAAGACUUCUGCCUGAGACUUCCCGCUCACAUGUGGGUUGUCCUGGCAGUAGAACUUGCCCAGUUUCAUUCUGCAAGACACUGAUAACAUUUGGAAACAAGAGACAAGACACAUGCAAAACCCAUCUGAAAACACAGAUGGUAAUUUCUCUAGCUGCGAGAAGAAAUUGGCACUAGGAAUGCCUCCUGCUCAGGUCAGACACAGAGUAAUCAUCUUUGAGAUAAAGAAUCUGCAGUGUGAUGAGAACAAAAGAAGCCUUGUAAAUCUUUUCAACAAGCAAGUUAAUUAACAAGAUAUGGCUACGGUCAGCAUGAAUUUACCUGCUUGGCUUCCUCACUCCCUCCACUUAUGGCACUGGUCUGUAAAAAGGUCUUUCUUUACAGCAGAGCUCCAGGCAAAAGCUGAGCUAAGCUCUGUUAAGAAGAGAGUGAUGGCUCAGAAACUCUGGGACCUGAGUCAGCAAGCUGAAGAAAAGAACAGUCAGACUGCUCCUACCCAGAGCAAAUGCUUCCCUCCUGACAAAAACAACAGCAAAAAAUCAGACCUAACUCUAAGCUUUGUUUCUUUUGAACCCCAAAGUCUGAGCUAAUGCAGUUCCAGGCUCCAAUUCUCAAGCUGUGUUGGAAAUAAACAACCAGUUUCAUGAGGAUUUUCUCAAUUGUCUUCUCCCCCCAGCUGCUAUCUUAAGCACACUUGCAUUAAGCUUGUCUGCCCACCUUGUUAUUGCUGCAGGGAGAGA